AGGACGAACGCUGGCGGCGUGCCUAACACAUGCAAGUCGAGCGGAGUCGAUCGACGGAAGCCUUCGGGCGGAAGAUGGUUGACUUAGCGGCGGAUGGGUGAGUAACGCGUGGGCAACCUGCCUCGAAGACCGGGAUAACAGCCCGAAAGGGCUGCUAAUACCGGAUGUGGUCAAAGAUCCGCAUGGAUUUUGAUUAAAGGGGAAACCCGUUUCGAGAUGGGCCCGCGUCCUAUCAGCUAGUUGGUGAGGUAAAAGCUCACCAAGGCGACGACGGGUAGCCGGCCUGAGAGGGUGACCGGCCACACUGGAACUGAGACACGGUCCAGACUCCUACGGGGGGCAGCAGUGGGGAAUCUUCCACAAUGGGCGAAAGCCUGAUGGAGCGACGCCGCGUGAGCGAAGAAGGCCUUCGGGUUGUAAAGCUCUGUCUGGAGGGACGAAGGAAGUGACGGUACCUCCGGAGGAAGCCACGGCUAACUACGUG
This 484-nucleotide ribosomal RNA is filed under the name uncultured bacterium. RNAcentral describes it as "bacterial SSU rRNA". It matches the Rfam family "Bacterial small subunit ribosomal RNA", at positions 26 to 507 of the family's 1533-position model. The record is from RNAcentral.